Molecule: unclassified non-coding RNA, 2892 nt
Filed under: Hevea brasiliensis (rubber tree)
Lineage: Eukaryota; Viridiplantae; Streptophyta; Magnoliopsida; Malpighiales; Euphorbiaceae
Source: RNAcentral
UCCUUAUCUGCACGUCGUUCUGGCGAUGGCUCGCCCUUCAAUGGCUACUUCCCUCCCCUUUCCCUCGUAGCUUCAACAGGCGUCGUUUCCUAGUCAGAAAUUUUCCCAAUAAUCUCCUUGCGUGAAUUUCCUGCAAAUCACUUGACUUCCACAUCAUCACUUGACUGCCUUUUCUUGCGUGUUAUUAUUGCGCUUGAAACGGCCUAAAUUUUCCUAUAUGGCGAUCCGUACAUCCGACUUGUUAAGGCAAGUGCAGGAAGCUCACGAGUUUGAUCGUCACGCUUUGUUUCGCUACGCUUCUGCUAAUGUCGCUGGCUUCCCUGCCUCUCCCUCCACUUUCAUUGUUAAACAGUUCGGGCAUGGACAAUCGAACCCUACGUUUCUGCUAGAAGUGGGUACCGGAGUUUCGUUGAAACGGUACGUUUUGAGGAAGAAGCCUCCUGGCAAAUUGCUCCAGUCAGCUCAUGCCGUCGACAGAGAGUAUCUGGUUCUGCGGGCGCUGGGUGAGCACACACGAGUUCCAGUUCCUAAAGUUUUCUGUCUGUGUACAGAUCCGAAUAUAAUUGGAACUGCAUUUUACAUUAUGGAGUAUUUGGAAGGACGUAUAUUUAUAGACCCAAACCUACCUGAUGUAUCGCCUAAGAAAAGGAGGGAUAUAUGUCGUGCGGUUUCUCAAGCGCUGGCCUCUGUUCACUCUGCCAAUGUUGAUGCAAUCGGUUUAGGUAACUACGGGAAGCGGAAAGACUACUGUAAGAGACAGGUAGAGCGGUGGGCCAAACAAUAUCUUCUAUCUACUGGCGAGGGCAAGUCCAGGAGAAACCCUAAAAUGUUAGAGCUGGUUGAUUGGUUGCGACAACAUAUUCCCCUUGAAGAUUCCUUAGGGGAAACAGCUGGUUUAGUACAUGGUGACUUUCGGAUUGACAAUGUUGUGUUUCAUCCCACAGAGGACAGAGUCAUAGGAAUUCUUGAUUGGGAGCUGUCGACUUUGGGCAAUCAGAUGUCUGAUGUUGCUUACAGCUGCUUGAGCUACUUUGUGAGUAUUUCAUUAGAAGAUCUAGACGAGAGUGAUGGCUUUGAGCGCAGCAGCUUCCCUGAAGGAAUACCUUCUCUUCCAGAAUACCUUGCAGAUUAUUGCUCAGCUGCUGGAAGACCUUGGCCGGUUGAUCAGUGGAAGUUCUACAUUGCCUUUUCUUUGUUUCGUGGUGCUUCAAUAUUUGCUGGUAUACACAGCAGAUGGAUCAUGGGUAAUGCUUCUGGAGGUGAACGUGCCCGGUUUGCAGGGGAAAAGGCUGAUUCCUUCAUCAAAACUGCAUGGUUAUUUAUUCAAAGAAAAUCUGUUCUCCCCCUUCACCCACCAUCUGAAACAACUAGAGAGGAUAAUAUCAGGAUUUUUGGAAGUGAAAGCCAAAUUCAAGUAACACCUACGAGUGGGAAAUUUGUGCCUAGUGAGAAGGUUCAAAAUCUGAGAGACAAAUUGAUAAAGUUCAUGGAGGAUCACAUAUAUCCAAGGGAAAGUGACUUUUACAAGCUUGCACUGUCUACCAUGCGCUGGACAAUUCACCCAGAUGAGGAGAAGUUAAAGGAUCUGGCAAAAAGAGAAGGCCUUUGGAACCUGUGGAUACCGUUUGAUAGUGCUGCACGGGCAAGAGAAUUGAUCUUUGGCAGCGGAAAUGAUUCCCUAGUUGAAAACAAAUUCAAUCGUUUAUUAGGUGCUGGACUUUCGAACCUCGAGUAUGGAUAUCUUUGUGAAAUUAUGGGUCGUUCUGUUUGGGCACCGCAGAUUUUCAAUUGUGGAGCGCCUGAUACAGGAAAUAUGGAGGUAUUACUCCGGUAUGGGAACAGGGAACAGAUAAAGGAAUGGCUUGUCCCCUUGCUUGAGGGAAAGACACGGUCUGGCUUUGCAAUGACAGAGCCACAAGUUGCUUCCUCAGAUGCUACUAAUAUAGAAUGUUCCAUCAAAAGACAUGGAGACUCUUAUAUCAUCAAUGGGAAGAAGUGGUGGACCAGUGGAGCCAUGGAUCCGAGGUGCAAACUUCUCAUUGUGAUGGGAAAAACUGACUUAACUGCUCCUAAGCAUAAACAACAAUCCAUGAUCUUGGUAGACAUUAAUACUCCAGGUAUUACGAUAAAGAGACCACUGACAGUAUUUGGUUUUGACGAUGCACCUCAUGGGCAUGCGGAAAUAUUUUUUGAGAAUGUAUCCGUCCCUGCGAACAAUAUUCUACUCGGUGAGGGGCGUGGCUUUGAGAUUGCCCAGGGUAGGCUAGGUCCUGGAAGGUUGCAUCAUUGCAUGAGGCUAAUAGGUGCAGCCGAACGCGGCAUGCAGAUGAUGGUUCAACGGGCUCUUGAAAGACGAGCUUUUGGAAAAUUAAUUGCCAAACACGGUGCAUUCCUUUCGGAUGUUGCCAAAUGUCGAAUUGAACUAGAGAAAACCAGAUUACUGGUUCUGGAAGCUGCUGAUCAGCUUGACCGCCUCGGAAACAAAAAGGCUCGUGCUACAAUCGCGAUGGCAAAGGUCGCUGCACCAAACAUGGCAUUGAUGGUUCUCGAUACUGCAAUGCAAGUGCACGGUGCUGCUGGUGUAUCCGGCGAUACUGUUCUUGCUCAUCUCUGGGCUACUGCUAGGACAUUGAGAAUUGCAGAUGGUCCUGAUGAAGUACACUUGGGAACAAUCGCGAAAACUGAGCUAAGGAAAUCCCGGCUUUGAAAACCUUAUAUAGUAUAACUAUCGCGAAAUACAAUAUAAAAUAAAAAUCGAAAAAAGUGCUGCAUGAAAAAAAAAAUACAAGGCUGUAUAUACCACAGUCUUGUAAAAUAUAGAAAUCUAAAUACUGAUAGUGAAAAUUGUUUCAACAAUUUCACAACUGUCAAUGAAUGUUUGUGGAGUGGCUU